This is a long non-coding RNA of Gallus gallus (chicken), 2306 nucleotides long. The record is from Ensembl. NCBI's taxonomy places the organism in Eukaryota, Metazoa, Chordata, Aves, Galliformes, Phasianidae.
CUUGCUCUCAGAAGGCCCAGCGGGCCCCGCUCUGCAGAGCAGGCCUGAGAACCUCACCCGGGGACACGGGCCUGCACAGCCAUCGUGCUGUGCUUCGGCUCUGAUGGGCAGGGCCCAGCCCAAGGCACGCGGGUGGACGUCCAAGGUGAUGUUGGUGGGAUGGCAGUAGAGAUUGAACCUUCCCACCAGCAUCCCAUUACAUUUUGCUGCUGCGUAAGAGAUGGAAGGAAGCCUGACGGAAUGGCGCCUGGCGUGCAAGUGUGUGUGAAGCAAAGCCGUGUCAUUGAGUUCUCCCAUGCUGGUGAAGAUGCACAGCUAGAGUUUCCAUAAUAAAUAAUGAGGAGGCGUUACUUCUGGAGCAACCUGUCUAUUCCUCAGUCAUCGAAGGUGCUGAAAAGCAGAUAAGGCUGCACGCUUGCCUCCUCGUCAGCCACCCCACAGUACUGCUGGUUACACCGCUGGUGAAUGCUAACGUCAAACUGAUUUGCUCCCAAGAAGCCACUGCUGCGUGCUCCUGCAGGGAUGCUGCGGGCUGCCCCCCGCUCUCUGCUGUGCUUUGUGUGCUCCACGGGUGUUCUCUCCCUGAAGCAGUGGUUACGUGGGAUUUGGGGCUCCCUUUCCAACCCCUCCUGCGAAAGGAGAGCACAGUUCUCCCUGAAGCAUUUCUGCCUUCACAUAUGUGACUUCCACGGUCAGCGAGGGAAAUUGGAGACCUGCUGGGCAGAUAUUGGUAUUCAAGGCACGUGCAGAAGAUGUGUGCAAGACUUAACCAGGCUUCUACUUGAAUUUUGUCUGGGUAACUUCCAGGUAAAGGGAGUGCACACAUCUGGCCCAGGUGGCCCAUUCUUUACUGCUGGUUCUAGGAUGGUCAGGAAGGCAGCUCAGGUUUAUUCCAGCACAGUGUUCAUGUGGUGUGGUAAUGGAUGUUAUGGGCAGGAGAAGGAUGAGAGUCUAAGGCAGCAAACAGUAAGAACAGGUUUAAAUAGAGGUCAUUGUGAACACAGUAAAUUACUGAUUGGUUUUGUUACUACAUACUGUGCAGAAACAACAGAGGAGUCAUCACGUUGCUGUGAAAAUACACAAGAUGUGUUGUCAGCAAUAGCUGCAGUGAUUGCUCGGUGGUGUCCAGAACCAGAGAGAAGGAAAGAUCUUCAGACCAAGAUGGAAACAGCCGGGGUUCCUUGGAAGAGCUGAGCCUUGAGGGCAGGACUAAGACUUCGAAAGACGGUGAUGGCCGUGGCACCUCCUCCUGGGUUGAGUUUAUCUGUAUUUUAUCCACAGGGUGGCACAUGGACCUUCCUGGGGAGAUCUGAAUGGUAUCACAGCGCAAACAGCUUUUGUUCGGGUAGCCGUAGUUCAGGCUGAGGCACAGCUGCCCCAAAAUAGAGCCCAGACAGACAACGCCGAGGAUGGCUCGAGGCUUUGGGAGGACAUGGCAGAGGGAACCUUACCCUGUGUGGGGCACACAGAGCCUCGCCGAUGCUACACCUGCGCAGGAAGGAUAGGGGUGAUUUCCAAAUCAAUGUACCGGUGCUCAUUUUUUGUUUGUUUGUUUGAUUUUUGUUUUCAAAACCUGUGCAGGGCUGCUGGGUUGAUGUCACCACCGCUUUGUCUGGCUUUGGCCUGAGGGGCAGGAGGGAGUCUGGUCACCCCCGUAAUCCCAGCAGCCUCCAAUGGCAACGACAGCGCUCGGAUGAAUGAAGGCAGCAGCACUGUGCAAAUUACCUUUUCUUUCUUAUCCACAGUAAGACAGAUAAUAAUCCUCCUACGGGACUAAUUACAGCCAAUGAAAAUAACUCCCACUGCCAGUAUUUGAAGGAUAACCACUUAGAUGAAAAAGAGUGAAAAAUGAUUAUUAUUUUGUGCGUGGCUCUCUCUCGCCCCAUCUAUUCUGACCUCAGUAAAUCACAGUGUAAUUAAUCACUGAGGAUUAAACACCGCAGGGAAAAGAGUAGGAAAUUAUGUAUAAGCAAAACUUGAAAUGACUUUGACUUACCAUAAAUUUGGGUUAUCUGUCUCACAGAAUACAAUUCCUAGGCUGCCUCUUAUGGAAUAAAUCUAUCCCGACCUGUGUCCAUGAGAACUGUAUGAAUAGUGAAGACUGGAGUAUCGCUGGGUGUGUAAGAAACUAAUCAAAAAAGGCAGUGACUGUGGAAGAUGUGGGUUGGCUCUUCGGGCAUUCCAGCAGCAGAAAAAUGCACAGAGAUCCCUCAGCAGACAGGGUAGGACUUAAGUGCUCAUCUUUAAAGGUGGAAACCAGCCUCAGAGAGACUAGACAUUAAACUUUAUGUUUAACAAAGUGAAAA